Long non-coding RNA from Epinephelus lanceolatus (giant grouper), 618 nucleotides. RefSeq lists it as uncharacterized. NCBI's taxonomy places the organism in Eukaryota, Metazoa, Chordata, Actinopteri, Perciformes, Serranidae. The record is from RefSeq and is a predicted model, not a curated record.
AUGACAGCACGUCUGGGUCCCCGGCUCCGAGCACGUCCACGGGCUGAGGUCGUGCUCGAGGCCACGGACGAUGGGGCUAAGGUGGGAGAGGAGGAAGAGAUGGAGGACGGGGAUCCGGCCGCGGUUUACUGUCGGAACUAUAGCUGGAACUGGAGGAACUGCAGCGGAUACAGGCUCUCCAGGCAGAGCAGAUUGCUUAUGAGGAUUCCUUGAUUGGGAGCAUGGACCUCAGCGCAUCUCAUCAGAUGAUCCGGGCUGUGUUGCAAAAUGACCCAUCCUACAUUUUUGACCUGAGAUCAGUCACAUCAGGUGCUCUACCCGUCCCAGGAUCCACUGCUGGACCCUCAUGGUGUGUGUGUGGGAGGUGCCGCGAAAUGCCGACAGACCUGGAGAGAAAGCGCUGUGGCCACCAACCUGAUGAAUGCUUGUCCAUCAUGCCAUAAAAUGGACAUUUAUUUACUGAUGGGGGGGUUACUUGCGCAUAGCCAGGAGAAUGUAUGAACCGGGAAAAUGAUUUAGGCGCACAGUGUGCGAGUAAACACAACCUACUGUUUACCAUAAUGGGUAUUGGAUGUUUUUUCAUCAAUAACUGAUCAAAUAAAUGUAUUUUAAAACUCA